Molecule: long non-coding RNA, 9303 nt
Filed under: Cricetulus griseus (Chinese hamster)
Lineage: Eukaryota; Metazoa; Chordata; Mammalia; Rodentia; Cricetidae
Description: lncRNA (ENSCGRG00015039050.1)
Source: RNAcentral
UGUCGAACUAAUUAAUGAACCAAUGAGUAACUAGCAUAGAGAAGUCAAGAGAGCGGGUGCUGAGACACUGGAGCUCAGAGAGUGAAGUCACUGACCUAAAGCCACACAGAGUGAACAGAAGAGCCAGGCUGGAAGCCAGACAUCCCAGCCCUCACCCUGGACUCCUUCCUCUGUGCUUCUUAGUAUCUCAUAAUGUGCUGUCCCUUUAGCUGAGCUUUCUCUUUUUCUGCAAUCCCGGCCAACUGUGAGGUCUGGAGAGCCACCACAUCACGUGGAAGAAAAGGACAAGAUGCCAAGAUGCCUCACCUGGUUUUUCUACUCCAGCAGUCUAUCUGGUAAGAUGUGCGGACCCUGACUCCAGGCAGGAGUGCUAUGGGGAACUUAGAAGGGGGAAACUAAUCCAGAUUAUGGUCUCUCGGCCACAGCAGCUCCUGAGCACAGAUGGGCGUGCAGUACCUGCACAGGGACUGAUGGCAGAAACUUUAUCAAAUCUGUCUUUAUGAGCAGAGGGACCCAGUAACAUGGUGCUAUAGUCCAUUUUCCAUUGCUGGGUGGGUUAUAAAGAACAGAUACUGGCACGGGUAUCUGAUGGUGGCCUCUUGGCUGCAUCAAAACAUGUAGAGGUCCUCACUUUGUAAAGCAGAACAUGAGAGGAAAGCUUUUACAACAGAGGAAUUCCUUCAGCAACUAGUGAAUUCAUUAACCCACAGAUGCAUUAGGUAUUUGAGACCCAACACCCCCUCCAAGGUUUUAUGUCUCUAAUACCACUAGCAUGCAGUUUGAGGGUUAUGUAUUUCAUAUAUGAAAUCCUGAAUGACAUCUAAACAUAGCUUCAAGCUUUCUUCCUACCUGGUAGAGAGGUUCUUAAACCUAGGCACCCCACUCAUCUGCCUCUUCCUGAGAAAUGGAGUGUGCUGCUUCAGCUUGCCUGCUUGGUGUCCAUCAAAGUCUGUCAUUCUAUCCCAUAGCAAAUUCUUCCUCUUUAUUCUGAAUAAUAGAAUAGUAAAGUACCCUUUCAAAUGUUGGCUGGACUCCGGGCAUUUUGCAAACUCACAAUGCUACACAUCCCUCUUCACAGUCAGAGUACUGACUCAAUGGUAGCCUCUCAGGUGAAAAGUAAAUUUGGGUUCAAUCCUAGUGUCUGAAUCUAACAAUGAACUUUUUUCUUUAACCUGUAUACACUUCCCAUUCAUUCAUUCAUUCAUUCAUUCAUUCAUUCGUUUGUUUUUUCUAUAAAUUUUUAGUUGAACCAAGCUGUGUUACAAGGCACUUUUCUAAGCACUAGGUGAUAGCAAUGAACACGCAGACAAGGUUCCACCCGCAGAGAACUAACUUCCCACUCAAGCAAUAAGAGAAAAGUUGUUGAACAAGAAAUAACAAUACCAUCAAGCUAUAUAGGAGAAGACUGACUGCUGUGCCAAAGAAAGCACAAUGGUUACUUCUUGAUUGGAGGAUUGGAUGAUCUGGACCUGUUUCCUCAUGUUGAUGGGUACCAUACAUAGCCGGCUGAAAACUCUCCCCAGGAAGAUGGUGUCUGGGUGAGGAAGUGCCAUGGAGAAAGAGAACAUCAGGAAAUGGAGGUGGGCGUGGCUUCUCCUGGAGAAACCCCAAGUAUCAUAAGUCUCAGGAACUACUUAGUCUUCCAUUUUUGCCCUCUUCCCCCACUGUGUCUGGCUGAUCCCCCUAAUGAGUUUUUCUCCAGCUGACACAGGAGGCCUUUUGUAGUCACAGAAAACACACCAGCCACAGCCACAGCCCCCGAAGCAUCACCUGUAAACUCUCCAAGAAGUGCCUGUCUCUCAUUGUCUACUGUUUCAAUGCAGUGACUGCCUGACCACCACCUCUGCCACAGCCUUUCCACCUAGAUCCUCCCUCUGCUCAGCCCACUUGAGACUGGGAAGCUGGUCUGCUCUGCACUUAGCUGCUCUCACUCCCUCAGUGGGGCUACAGCUCUCCUGUCAGGGACUCUGGGAAAGUUCACUUCCUCUUUUGACUUCUCAGUAUGUAAGAAUUCUUCCAGAAUUGGUGGUUCAUCAAUUUCCUCUUUUGUUUCUUCUAAAAAGCUUAACGUGGGGGAAUCUACGGGUUCAGCAAGUACUAGAGGACCAGAGGAAGGGUUUUAAGAACAUUCACUGAGUACUCAAAGGCACAGGAACUAGACUCCCUGGGACAUAACAGAGCACACCAGAGCUUGGUAUAGGGAUUUCUGCAUGUCCAGGAAGCCCCUGAGAUACCUGCUCAGAAUGUAGUGAGUCCCUGUCCCUCUAGAACACCGAACCAGUCAGAAGGCAGAGGUAUGAGAGGCAGCCAGGGGAGAUCAUCACGGAGACCUGGCUUCAUAUAUUUCAUCUGUAGACUCUCUACCACUUGUCUGUGACUUAUUUUGCUUGAACUAUGUUAUAUUUUCUCUAGCUACAGAAGUAAAACAUAAUCAUUAUGGAAACAUAAUCAAAGUACAGAUGAGGAACGAAGUUCAAUAAUAAAAUGCUGGCAUGUCCUUUUAUGAAAAGAGAAAACUCACUAUUUGUAAAAGAUUUGUGUGUAUGUGGGCAUGCCAUCUAUGAAGACACCUGUGUAGGCCAUAAGAGGGUAUUGGAUCCCUUAGAACUGGAGUGACAGGCGGCCGUGAGCCCUUGACACGGGUGAUGAGAACCAAGCUUGGGGUUUGGGUUCUAUGGAAGAACAGAAAGGACUUUUAACUGCUGAUCCGCCUAUCUGGCCUCCAACUUUCUCACUUUUCAAGCGAGAUCACACUUUUUGUGGCGUUCUUAUAGCCUCUAUAUAAAGAACAACUUCCGACAGCUGUAACAGCAUUAACUUGGGCAAAUAAUAGUUCAUGAGUCUGCAAAACUCAGAACCACAUGAGAGUCAAAGAGCCACACAGUAUGAGUAGCUGCCUGUUAUAAACCGGUUAUGGAAGUUAAGCAGAGACAUUACUGGGGUUAUAGCUGAUAUGGCAGGACACAGUGGCUGUCUGUGAUUGGCUAAAGCUCAGCUGUUUAUGAUUGGCUGAAACCUGGCCAUUCAUUACAAAACAAAAAAAAGCACUCAGGCUUCAGUGUGCAUGCAUACCAAACUACAAUGUAGUUUGCUUCAUAGGAACUCAGAGAACAGAGGCAGCCUCUAGCUAAAGGCCCCUGCUUAUUUAAUAUAGCACCCCUGUGGGGCAUUUUUAAAUGUUGUUUCAUAUACCCGACAUAUUGUGAACAGCUUUCCUCGUGAUAGAAUGCCAUCCCAAAGCAGCUUUUUAAUGGCUGCUGAGCACCCUGCGGAAUGCAGGUACCAGAAUUUAUUCCAGCGAUUCCCUCUGCUAGGGUAUUUAAGUUGCUUCCAAGUUUCAUUAUUGUAACUCAGAAACAAGCUUUCUUUUACCUCGAUGGCCGCACACGGCUGUCAUUAUUUCUUCAGGCUAGGUUGCUGGAUGUUGAUGUGUUGAAUUGAGGAUAUGAGAGUUUUAUGUUUUGUCUACAUCUCACCUUACUGUUCUCAACAAAAGAAAGCUUUCAUUUGGCUGCUGCCCAUUGGUCACAGAGGUGUUUCUUGCCACCUUGUGACAUUUCCUCCUCGUGUCACGCUUCCUUAGGUGCCCAUUUAACCUGUCUCCAUGGGGAUGAUGGAGGGUAGGCAUUGCUAAAAUUUCUUCCCUAGGAAGACAUGAAUAACUUCCUUCUCCUCUUAAGGUCCCAAUGUUAACAAGAUGCAACUCCACCAGAGUUCAUUCUGGGAAACCUAUAAGUUUAUUAGGGAGAGUCUAAUAAACUGUAUAACAAUGGCUAAGGGGUUAUGGGCAUAGGUAAUCUUAAACAUUAACACUGGAAGAUCUGCACCCAGCAUGGAGGAUGACCCCCCCACACACACACACACACUGCAAAGAUGACGUCAUACCCCCUUAACCUCCCCUGUCCAUACUUUAGCCCCUCUCUGAGGUCACAUGCAAUUAGGGAAAAAUUGCAUACAGCUGAUUGGGACGAGCGUCUGGGUACUCUGGUGAGGAGCCUAUGACCCUGAAUGUCCUCCCCCACCAGCACCUGUAAGGUUCUUCUAAAGUUAACAAGCCCAGCUGUGUUGACCUUUUGAAAUCAGGCACAACUGAUCCGAUAAAGAAGGUGGCAGUUUGUCCAGACAUGUAUUUGUCAGGUGUGUCCACUCAGGUAAAGCCAUGCGUGUAGCUCACACCAGGCAUGUCCAGUAUAAAUGUUGGUGGAACAAGGCAGUGUGUGAUCAAGUAACUGCCAUAACCAAUAUGAAUCUUGACACAGGCUACACAGAGGCUUAUAGAUCCUGGGGCCACACCAGCCUGAACUGGAAUACUGAGGCUGACUUGGGCAUGAGCUCCCUGCACCUCAGUUUUCCCAGUUGGGAAAUGGAGUCAUUAUAUCACAUCCUGGUGGAGGGGUCUUUGGAAAUCAAAUGGAAUUAGUGGGGGACAAAUUCAAAGCACGGAGCAAGGACCAUGUGGGCCUUCAGCACAUACUACUUAGGAUUUUCAUGAAAUAGGCAAUAAUUUGAGUUAACAUAACAAACUUUAUUUGAGGCCCUUGAGAGGCCCAUGAAACUGCUAAGGGUGAUUUGUACCCAGCACAACAGCUAAUCUCAGAGGAAAAGAUGCCCAUGUUAGUUAACUUCCCGCAGUUUACUGUGUUUUGUGUUUCAUAACUCAAUGCCUCUUUACAUUUCCUGGGAAUUUGUAUUUGGCUCACUAUGCUCCAUUUUCAUAAGGCUUGCCCUGGGGAGGCUACUACACAGCAAGGGAUGGGGGUGGGGGGUAAGCCCAGGUUUGGCCAGCAGGUCAGAGACUCUCAGCUGGUGAUCCUGGGGAAAAUGCUCUCCCGCUCAGAGAGCAGGUGGAUCCCAGCUGUCUGAGGCCUUAGAAGAAUUGCCUUGCCAGGCAAUUUCUUACAGAAAGGUGGGCCUAAGACCAUGAGUGAACUUUGGAAAUGCUAUUUGAGAACUUUUAGAAUAAAAGGGAACAUUUUUCGUCAGUCUCGAAGCAAUCCCACGUAGCACCCAACAUGAGCAUGUGGUAACUUCGUAAUUGUGCCCCAGCUCCCUUCCCCCACCUUAGCUCUUAUCUCACUCCCACAUAGUCCAGCCUCAUGGAGCUGUGAGCCCUGUGAGUCAGAGCACAUUCUUCCAGCUCUGGACUUCUGAAUGAACUUUGGGUCUUUAUUUGUGUUGCUUGGCUUGAAUGUUCUGAGCCCUUCCCUAUGCCAAACACUGUUAAACAUGGCCUUAAUCUUAAUUACUACUGUUAAAUAUUUCAAACAUCAUAAAAGAUGAACAUAAAUCAUAAAAGAAUGAACAGCAAUGCACACCCAUUUCUGUCUUAGCUGAGGUAAUAUUCUGCCCCUCAUUUGUUUCAGAUCUCUUUGUUCUAAGAAAUAAAAUGUUAUAAAUGUGGUAGAAUUUCUUUCCUUGCUUCCAAGACACACUUUUUUUUUGCUAAACACUAGUGGGCCUUUGUCCUCUCCCAUUUUUAUCCAUUUUCUACAAAUGUAAAUAUUCAUAAAGCACAUACAUAGAAAUGUUUGCUUAAGUCUUUUCUCUAUGGUGAAAACCACAGUAUGAAAUCCGUGCCCUUCACAAAUGUAUGCACGUACCAUACGGUUAGCCAUCGGCACUUUGCUAUGUGGUGGAUCUCUAGUAGGUUUUCUCUUUGAUGCUGAAAUUGCAUGGCCCUUGGACAGUAAUUCAUUCCCUCUCCAGCUCCAGGCAGCUGUCACUCCAGUUUUUUGUUCCUAUGAGUUUGACUAUGUUGGAUAACUCAUCUUUGUAAAACUAUUCAGUGUCUGUCCUUCUGAGACAGGCCAAUUUCACUUAUCGUGACGUCCUCAGAAUUCCUCCAUGCAGUACACAAGACAGAAUCUGCACCUUUCAAGGCUGAGUCACACACACAACAUGUUCUCUGCAGCUUCUUUCCCAAUAGCCAUGAGUUGGAAUGAACCAAAAUGUCCCUUGAUAAGAGGAUAAAGAUUACAUACAGUGUGUACACGGAAUGGGAUAUUCUUUCCCUUUUCUCUUUAGGUUUAUUAUCUGUCUAUAGACGUGUUAUUGUUUGCUAUUCAUAGGCAAAGAAGCCGGCAAUUAAAAUUAAGCAAGUUGUCUAAAUUGAAUAAUUGCUUAUAUUAAACCUUCUAAACCCUGUCUAAUCUGAUCACUAGAUUAGAUUCCAUUCCACUUCCCCCCAAAACCAGAGUCCCUUCCCCAUUCCUUUGGACCACUUGAUGACCAAUGUUACUGUGUCAACCCCAGUGAACUGCUGGUGGCUUAUCCAUCUCAUUCUUCAGGGAAAACAAAACAAAACAGAUCCUUGUUCAGUCUGGAGUGCCAGCACUCAGGACAGUGACAGUGACCAGUACCUGACAAGGGAGCAGGGAGUUGUUCUUAAAGAACAUUGGGAGAAAAGAGUGUGUAGACACAAGGGGACUCUGGUGGAGUUCCUGCAAAGCCACCUGCAGGACACCCAGCUCUAGAAACACUUUCUCCUGUGUCCCUGCACUCACAGUAUUGAGAACUCUUGAUUUUCCAUUUUAUGCAUGUGAAAUUUCAGUCAAAACAACCACAGAAACCUUAACCUGCCUCCAUGCUUACACAUUAGACACUGGGAAAAGGACACUUAUCACUUUUGCCCAGGUCUGGUUUUCUGCAUACUUGCAGAUAAAGAAUGAAUUGUCAAGAUCCAGUGGGUGUUUCAAGAGCAUCCACUGAAUGGAAGAGGUGAUGACAAACAGAUUUGCAGUUGAGUUGACCCAUUCAGGCCAUCUUUCUUCAGCAGUACUCCAGCUCUGUUGGAGACAUUCAUAGGUCACCAUUGUAUUCUUCCCUUUCCUAAAAUAAACCAUGGUGCGUUAGUUUAUUUUGUGUACUAUUUUAAUUCAAUUUAUUUCUUAAUUUUAAAAAAUGGUUUUGGAGGCCAGAAAGCACUUGUCAGAACAACCUGAGUUCAUUCCCCAGAAUCUAUAUAGUGGAAGGAGAGAACUAACAAGUUGUCCUCUGACCUCCACACUUGCAUUGUUGUAAACACCCCACCCCAGAUGUUUAAAUAAGUUUUCCACUUUCUGAGCAACAAGUCGUAGGAAAUCACGGAUUACAUAAUCUCACAGUGUGUUUCUCUGACAACAGCAGGGUAUUCAGAGGAGCAGGUAUGUACUUGUGUCUGUAAGGCAUGGAUAUAGCUGGAUGCUUUUCAGGCACAUACUUGUAUCUAUACAGCACGUAUGCAGCUGGUUGCUUUGUGCACCAUUGUAUCUCUAUUCAAUAUGAAGUUUCCAGCUGUUCCAACCUGAAACCAGCUGUGAGUAGUGCACAAUUCAGAAAGUAAAUUGGUGUAUAGGUCUCCAACAAAACUAAAGUGCCAUCAUCUUUUCUGGACACCAGAUAUCCACAUCCAGCCCAGCCUGGUGACCCUAUAAAUGGGUCACCAAUGCCCAGAGAACAAACCUGAGGCUUGCUUACAAUCGAACCAAAGGAUUCCCCUUUGAAGAACAAGUGGAACCUGGUACCAAAUAACUAAUUACUAAUUACUAAUAACUAGAUCUGAAGGCCAGAGGUACAUACACUUGGGGCAUGUUUGAGUAGGCUGGGACAUGCAGAAUGGGAAGCUUCCAUGGGAGCUCUGCCAGCCAUGCCAGGAAGACACCAUGGCUGCUCCAACCUCUGCAGUCCAGCUGUGCAUGGGCAGGUGUUCCAGCUGAGCCUGAGCCUUUCUUUUUCCUAAAUAUUUCUUUUGCUAGCUUUAAUUCUGUGCAUGUAUGUACUAGGGUAUAGAUAAUUUUAUAACUAUUUUACUUCACUUGCAUUUUGAAUGUGGCCCAUCACGCAAGUUCAGUAUCAGAUCAGUUUUUCAAAAGUUUCAGAUGUUGGAGCAGUUUGGAUUGGAGGUUUUCAGAUUAGGAUGCCCAACGUGGACAAUAUGUCUGAUUAGUAUGUUAGGUAGCCAACUAAUUCCAUGAGGUGAAAGGAUAGGAGAGAGAGAAGUAGGAGCUUCAAUGUAAGAUAACACAGCAUGGAAUAACUAUUAUGUCUCCAGGAGGACUUGAAGAAGCUGCCCUGCUCUUUGAAAGCUCCCUCCUUCCCAGACCAAGCUGCCAGUUGCAGCAUGGCUUCUGCAGACAAAACGAGCUCAGUGCCCACUCUUGGAGGCAGAGUGUUUAUUGCUAAAGGACAUUUAAAUGGAAAACAGCCCAGCAACUGGAAUCAAUGUGUCCUUGGGGAAAGAAAGUGGAAUUCUCUGCUAUGCCACACCAGUAAUGCCAUGAACCAAAGCCUCAAUUUCAUGGACUCCUGAAGGGCUGCUCAUGGGGGUAAGGAAAACAUAAAGUCACACAGAAGGCUAAAACUGAGGAUUAACCUAGCUAAAAGACACAAGACCUUUCCAGAAAUUGUAAAAUUAAAGCUUGGUGCUUUGCAUCGUCCUUACAGUGGUGGCCUGGAACUUUAAGUGUGGGAUGCAUAGUGUUUUCUUUACAAACAACACACGUUGAAAGGGAGAGGGUCACUUGAAGAAAUGUAACAAACACUGCCUUAAUGAGGUGAUCAAGAUAACCAUUAACGGUAGCAGAGUGUCAUGGAAGUACUUGCUGUCAGCAGGGAAGGAGGCUACUUUCUUUUUGUGGCCUUUCUUUCCCCACCCUAAACUUUAACCUAAUUGAGAAAACCAUGCAGAUGAAUCCCAGAAACAUUAUACCUUAUAAGUGCUCCUCGGCCUGUAAGGUCAUCAGACACAGGGAAAGUCAACCAGGAGAUUUCUUAGUUCACAUCUCUAAUUACUGUGAUUAACACCAUGGCCAGCAGUAACUUGUCAGAGGAAAGGGUUUAUUUUGGCAUACAGCUCACAGUCCAUCAUCAAAAAACCAGGGCAGGAUCCCAAGGCAGAAACCUGGAGGCAGGAACUGAAGCAGAGACCAUGAAGGAACUCUGCUUACUGGCUUGCUUCAUCUGGAUUGCUCAGUAGCAGUCUUAUACAGCCCAGGACCACCUGCCUAAGGAUGGUACCACCCACAGUGGGCUGGACUCUCUCACAUCAUCUCUGUGUAGCUUUAGCAAUCAAGAAUAUUCCCACUGCCACACCCACAUACCAACUCAAUGGAAGGCAGCUUCAGUUCCAGUUUGCGUCAAGUUGACAAAGGCUAGUGGCGAGUACAUGUCAUGUAGGACCCAGGAACAGAAAAGGAGUGAUAAGUAAAACUUAGAGAAAUCUGAGUAAAGUGUGGGUUUUAGGUAAUAUUAAUCUACCAAUAGAAACUAAUCUAGGUGUUGUAAAUGAAGCUGAUAAUAAGGGAAAUUGGAGGCUGUAAAAUGCAC